UUCCAGAUGAUUCCUCCCCCCACCCC
This 26-nucleotide non-coding RNA is filed under the name Rattus norvegicus (Norway rat). The record is from RNAcentral. Lineage: Eukaryota; Metazoa; Chordata; Mammalia; Rodentia; Muridae.